This 75-nucleotide transfer RNA is filed under the name bacterium. Its description in RNAcentral is "tRNA-His". It matches the Rfam family "tRNA". From Rfam's summary of the family: Transfer RNA (tRNA) molecules are approximately 80 nucleotides in length. Their secondary structure includes four short double-helical elements and three loops (D, anti-codon, and T loops). Further hydrogen bonds mediate the characteristic L-shaped molecular structure. tRNAs have two regions of fundamental functional importance: the anti-codon, which is responsible for specific mRNA codon recognition, and the 3' end, to which the tRNAs corresponding amino acid is attached (by aminoacyl-tRNA synthetases). tRNAs cope with the degeneracy of the genetic code in two manners: having more than one tRNA (with a specific anti-codon) for a particular amino acid; and 'wobble' base-pairing, i.e. permitting non-standard base-pairing at the 3rd anti-codon position. The record is from RNAcentral.
GUAUCCUUAGUGUAGUGGCCUGCACCCUGCUCUGUGAAAGCGGUAGUACCGGAUCGAUACCGGUAGGAUACCCCA